Citrus sinensis (sweet orange) is the source of this 85-nucleotide non-coding RNA. Lineage: Eukaryota; Viridiplantae; Streptophyta; Magnoliopsida; Sapindales; Rutaceae. The record is from Rfam.
GAGCAGAUGAUGAUACAAAAACAUUAUUCAUAGCUGAUGAAGCCGUGAUGCUUCUAAAAUUCGAGCUUUUUAAAACUGAUGCUCC